UACCUUUUGUGAUUGCACCAACAAUAACAAUCUUCUCAGCUACUUUUUCAACUAUGUCUACCUGAUUUGAGUUUGGGUGGAUGAGUACACCCAUUGAUUUCAAUUGAUGCACCAUAAAAACAACCACAACACAAUACAUAAAUUUAAUUACAAAACAAUAACAACAACAUAUAACACAAUUUUUUAAACUUAUACUUACCUCAAUCACACCGUGGGUACACUUCUCCCGCAGUUCCUCUGUCAACUCCUCUUGUUCCUCCUCAGUCAAC
Molecule: long non-coding RNA, 269 nt
Filed under: Lathyrus oleraceus (garden pea)
Lineage: Eukaryota; Viridiplantae; Streptophyta; Magnoliopsida; Fabales; Fabaceae
Description: Pisum sativum (pea) long non-coding RNA (PSAT_LNC009553)
Source: RNAcentral